Molecule: ribosomal RNA, 400 nt
Filed under: uncultured bacterium
Lineage: Bacteria
Description: bacterial SSU rRNA
Rfam family: Bacterial small subunit ribosomal RNA
Source: RNAcentral
GAAUCUUCCGCAAUGGGCGAAAGCCUGACGGAGCAAUGCCGCGUGCAGGAUGAAGCGGCUUCGCCGUGUAAACUGCUGUCAGGUCCUCGAAACACUGAUCAGGACCAAAGGAAGGGCCGGCUAAACUCGUGCCAGCAGCCGCGGUAAUACGAGUGGCCCAAGCGUUAUUCGGAAUCACUGGGCUUAAAGCGUGCGCAGGCGGACCUGUAGGCGUCUUGUGAAAUCCCACGGCUCAACCGUGGAAUUGCAGGGCGAACCACAGGUCUUGAGGCAGGUAGGGGGAGACGGAACUGUCGGUGGAGCGGUGAAAUGCGUAGAUAUCGACAGGAACGCCAGUGGUGAAGACGGUCUCCUGGGCCUGUCCUGACGCUCAUGCACGAAAGCGUGGGGAGCAAACAGG